AAAAGGGAAGCGCUUGUGACCAGACUUGCGUCCGGUGAAUCACCCAGCUCUCGCGGCUGGGGCACUUCGCCGGCACAGGCCAGCAUCAGCUUGCCGUCGGGGACAAAAGCUUCAGGAACGUGGCUCCUCUCGGGGAGUGUUAUAGCCUGUUGCAUAAUACCCUUCGGCGGGCUGAGGUACGCGCNCCGCAAGGAUGCUGGCGUAAU
RNAcentral lists this ribosomal RNA (206 nucleotides) under Colletotrichum pyricola. RNAcentral's name for it is "partial 28S ribosomal RNA". Lineage: Eukaryota; Fungi; Ascomycota; Sordariomycetes; Glomerellales; Glomerellaceae. The record is from RNAcentral.